AUUGAACGCUGGCGGCAUGCUUUACACAUGCAAGUCGAACGGCAGCGCGGGCUUCGGCCUGGCGGCUAGUGGCGAACGGGUGAGUAAUGCAUCGGAACGUGCCCAGUAGUGGGGGAUAGCCCGGCGAAAGCCGGAUUAAUACCGCAUACGACCUGCGGGUGAAACCUGGGGGCCGAAAGGCCUCGCGCUAUUGUAGCGGCCGAUGUCGGAUUAGCUAGUUGGUUGGGUAAAGGCUUACCAAGGCGACGAUCCGUAGCUGGUCUGAGAGGAGGACCAGCCACACUGGGACUGAGACACGGCCCAGACUCCUACGGGAGGCAGCAGUGGGGAAUGGUGGACAAUGGGGGGAACCCUGAUCCAGCGAGGCCGAGUGCGGGAAGAAGGCGUUGGGGUUGGAAACAGGUUUUGUUCGGGAAGAAAUCCUCUGGGCUAAUACCAAGGGGGGAUGACGGUACCGGAAGAAGAAGCACCGGCUAACUACGUG
This 484-nucleotide ribosomal RNA is filed under the name uncultured bacterium. RNAcentral's name for it is "partial 16S ribosomal RNA". It matches the Rfam family "Bacterial small subunit ribosomal RNA", at positions 29 to 507 of the family's 1533-position model. The record is from RNAcentral.